UACUUUUGAACCAAUGCCAUGGCAUCUUGAUAGCGUUGAUGCAUAUCACGGGGUCUUCCACCAAAAGAUGAGGGGAGUAUUGUUGUUCAUCCCACAUUUCCUAUUUGUUGUUAAAGAUGACAUUUUAAAUACAUUUUGUUGAUGCACAAAACCGGAGGUCUUGGAAUAACGUAAAUCCGACCGUGAAUCUGCAAGUAAUGUAAAUAACACAAGAUAUAUCGUGGUUCACCCCAAGGUUUGGGCUACGUCCACACUGAUUAUGUAUUUAU
RNAcentral lists this long non-coding RNA (269 nucleotides) under Malus domestica (apple). Its description in RNAcentral is "long non-coding RNA (MDOM_LNC000829)". Lineage: Eukaryota; Viridiplantae; Streptophyta; Magnoliopsida; Rosales; Rosaceae. The record is from RNAcentral.